GUGGGGAAUAUUGCACAAUGGGGGAAACCCUGAUGCAGCGACGCCGCGUGAGUGAAGAAGUAUUUCGGUAUGUAAAGCUCUAUCAGCAGGGAAGAAAAUGACGGUACCUGACUAAGAAGCCCCGGCUAACUACGUGCCAGCAGCCGCGGUAAUACGUAGGGGGCAAGCGUUAUCCGGAUUUACUGGGUGUAAAGGGAGCGUAGACGGUAAAGCAAGUCUGAAGUGAAAGCCCGGGGCUCAACCCCGGGACUGCUUUGGAAACUGUUUAACUAGAGUGCUGGAGAGGUAAGCGGAAUUCCUAGUGUAGCGGUGAAAUGCGUAGAUAUUAGGAGGAACACCAGUGGCGAAGGCGGCUUACUGGACAGUAACUGACGUUGAGGCUCGAAAGCGUGGGGAGCAAACAGGAUUAGAAACCCGAGUAGUCC
This 425-nucleotide ribosomal RNA is filed under the name uncultured bacterium. RNAcentral describes it as "bacterial SSU rRNA". It matches the Rfam family "Bacterial small subunit ribosomal RNA", at positions 354 to 796 of the family's 1533-position model. The record is from RNAcentral.